Molecule: ribosomal RNA, 80 nt
Filed under: Klebsiella aerogenes
Lineage: Bacteria; Pseudomonadati; Pseudomonadota; Gammaproteobacteria; Enterobacterales; Enterobacteriaceae
Description: partial 16S ribosomal RNA
Rfam family: Bacterial small subunit ribosomal RNA
Source: RNAcentral
UUAAAUUGAAGAGUUUGAUCAUGGCUCAGAUUGAACGCUGGCGGCAGGCCUAACACAUGCAAGUCGAGCGGUAGCACAUG